Molecule: ribosomal RNA, 253 nt
Filed under: uncultured bacterium
Lineage: Bacteria
Description: partial 16S ribosomal RNA
Rfam family: Bacterial small subunit ribosomal RNA
Source: RNAcentral
UACGUAGGGGGCAAGCGUUGUCCGGAAUCAUUGGGCGUAAAGCGCGUGUAGGCGGCUCGAUAAGUCUGCUGUGAAAGUCCAGGGCUCAACCCUGGGAUGCCGGCGGAUACUGUCGAGCUCGAGUCCGGAAGAGGCGAGUGGAAUUCCUGGUGUAGCGGUGAAAUGCGCAGAUAUCAGGAGGAACACCAAUGGCGAAGGCAGCUCGCUGGGACGGUACUGACGCUGAGACGCGAAAGCGUGGGGAGCAAACAGG